CGACGUCGCGAGAAGUCCACUGAACCUUAUCAUUUAGAGGAAGGAGAAGUCGUAACAAGGUUUCCGUAGGUGAACCUGCGGAAGGAUCAUUGUCGAUGCCUACAAAGCAGAACGACCAGCGAACCGUUUCUCAACACACGGGACACCGGAGGGGCGUUUAGCUGCCCGGUAUCCCCAAGCUUCGGAUGCUUGAGGGUGCGAUCCGCCCCCAGCAGAUGGAGCAUCAAACACACCCCGGCGUGCAAAGCGCCAAGGUACUACAACGGUAGGGCAAGCACCCGUACGCCUGGAAUCCGGCGCGUUCGGGUGUCUGUUCGGUGUCAUAAAUCUAAACGACUCUCGGCAACGGAUAUCUCGGCUCUCGCAUCGAUGAAGAACGUAGCGAAAUGCGAUACUUGGUGUGAAUUGCAGAAUCCCGUGAACCAUCGAGUCUUUGAACGCAAGUUGCGCCCGAAGCCUUGGCCGAGGGCACGCCUGCCUGGGUGUCACACAUCGCGUUGCCUCCAAAACCUUUCCCCCGUAACACUGUGGCGAUGGUUUGGACGCGGAAGAUGGCUUCCCGUGGCCGAGAGCCACGGAUGGCCGAAAAUUGUGCUAGGGAAGCGAAGCGCCACGGCGUUCGGUGGUCGGAACAGCCCUUGAGGCGUUGAAGCCCGUGGUAGCCGCGAGAGUCCCCAGCCCACGACCCUAAUCGUUAACCGACGCGACCUCAGGUCAGGCGGGGCUACCCGCUGAGUUUA
Molecule: ribosomal RNA, 740 nt
Filed under: Combretum mossambicense
Lineage: Eukaryota; Viridiplantae; Streptophyta; Magnoliopsida; Myrtales; Combretaceae
Description: eukaryotic LSU rRNA
Rfam family: 5.8S ribosomal RNA (bases 335-488)
Source: RNAcentral